Long non-coding RNA from Dendrobium catenatum, 439 nucleotides. RefSeq lists it as uncharacterized. The transcript has 3 exons. The record is from RefSeq and is a predicted model, not a curated record. NCBI's taxonomy places the organism in Eukaryota, Viridiplantae, Streptophyta, Magnoliopsida, Asparagales, Orchidaceae.
UAUAUUUUUUUUUUGCCUGUACCGUAUUGGGUAGUUUGGCGGUGAUAUAUUCAUAGAUUAAAAAUCGUUCUGACUUUGACUCCUCGUGUCUUCCCUCUGAUUCCGACUCCUCGUGACGUUGCCGCUUUGUUUGCUCUACGGGAACGUCAGGAAGAGUCCAGCACAGCCGCACAGGAAACUUUCGUCCUGCUAGAAGCUCUCUCCCUUCUUCCGGCGUCCUUGCCUCCUUGGGCAUUCUUCCGGAGUUCCGGCGUCUUGGAUUCAGCCGGCAGCACGCACAGUGCAAGUCCGACUCCUUAUCUCUGAUCUCUCCCUUCUAAGCUUUCUUCCGUUCGGACUCCGGCGUAUCCGGCCGGCAGCUGCUGGCCCGCAGCACAGAGAUUUUGUUGGAUACUAUACAAUACUCCAUUCUUCUAUCUUGGAUCAGCCGACAGUACAG